Molecule: transfer RNA, 69 nt
Filed under: Typhlatya monae
Lineage: Eukaryota; Metazoa; Arthropoda; Malacostraca; Decapoda; Atyidae
Description: tRNA-Glu
Rfam family: tRNA
About the family: Transfer RNA (tRNA) molecules are approximately 80 nucleotides in length.
Source: RNAcentral
GUUCUUAUGGUGUAAUAUAACACAUUACAUUUUCAUUGUAAAGCUAAAGGUCCUUUCCUUUUAAUAACA